UAUAGCACAAGUGCAAGGUACAACUCGACGAAGCACGGACAGAUUCUUUAAACACAGAUUUGGCUUAUUUCUUUCAUUUCUUUCAUUUGGCUUGGAUGAUUUUGGAGAGAAUUUCAAGGGGGAUUUUAUCAAGCAUCAAAAAUUUGUGGCACGAGGAGGCUAAUUUAAGAGGCAAGGGUAUAGCGAGCUAGAGCUUUAGCCGGUUUGAGAUCCAGGUACACCACGGACUGAGUGAGGAUUU
Non-coding RNA from Nicotiana tabacum (common tobacco), 241 nucleotides. The record is from RefSeq and is a predicted model, not a curated record. Lineage: Eukaryota; Viridiplantae; Streptophyta; Magnoliopsida; Solanales; Solanaceae.